GACACGGUCCAGACUCCUACGGGAGGCAGCAGUAGGGAAUCUUCCGCAAUGGGCGAAAGCCUGACGGAGCAACGCCGCGUGAGUGAUGAAGGUUUUCGGAUCGUAAAACUCUGUUAUUAGGGAAGAACAAAUGCGUAAGUAACUGUGCGCAUCUUGACGGUACCUAAUCAGAAAGCCACGGCUAACUACGUGCCAGCAGCCGCGGUAAUACGUAGGUGGCAAGCGUUAUCCGGAAUUAUUGGGCGUAAAGCGCGCGUAGGCGGUUUCUUAAGUCUGAUGUGAAAGCCCACGGCUCAACC
Molecule: ribosomal RNA, 299 nt
Filed under: Brucella abortus
Lineage: Bacteria; Pseudomonadati; Pseudomonadota; Alphaproteobacteria; Hyphomicrobiales; Brucellaceae
Description: partial 16S ribosomal RNA
Rfam family: Bacterial small subunit ribosomal RNA
Source: RNAcentral